GAUGAACGCUGGCGGCGUGCCUAAUACAUGCAAGUCGAGCGAACGGACGAGAAGCUUGCUUCUCUGAUGUUAGCGGCGGACGGGUGAGUAACACGUGGAUAACCUACCUAUAAGACUGGGAUAACUUCGGGAAACCGGAGCUAAUACCGGAUAAUCUUUUGAACCGCAUGGUUCAAAAGUGAAAGACGGUCUUGCUGUCACUUAUAGAUGGAUCCGCGCUGCAUUAGCUAGUUGGUAAGGUAACGGCUUACCAAGGCAACGAUGCAUAGCCGACCUGAGAGGGUGAUCGGCCACACUGGAACUGAGACACGGUCCAGACUCCUACGGGAGGCAGCAGUAGGGAAGCUUCCGCAAUGGGCGAAAGCCUGACGGAGCAACGCCGCGUGAGUGAUGAAGGUCUUCGGAUCGUAAAACUCUGUUAUUAGGGAAGAACAUAUGUGUAAGUAACUGUGCACAUCUUGACGGUACCUAAUCAGAAAGCCACGGCUAACUACGUG
RNAcentral lists this ribosomal RNA (497 nucleotides) under uncultured bacterium. RNAcentral describes it as "partial 16S ribosomal RNA". It matches the Rfam family "Bacterial small subunit ribosomal RNA", at positions 28 to 507 of the family's 1533-position model. The record is from RNAcentral.